Molecule: non-coding RNA, 289 nt
Organism: Petromyzon marinus (sea lamprey)
Lineage: Eukaryota; Metazoa; Chordata; Hyperoartia; Petromyzontiformes; Petromyzontidae
Source: RefSeq, a predicted model, not a curated record
GUACCACCUUGUAGCAGGCCCAGUGUGCUAGUACCACCAGGUAUGUGAGUAUCACCAGGUAUGUGAGUAUCACCAGGUAUGUGAGUAUCACCUUGUAGCAGGCCCAGUGUGCUAGUACCACCAGGUAGGUGUGAGUAUCACCUUGUAGCAGGCCCAGUGUGCUAGUACCACCAGGUAUGUGAGUACCACCACCAGGUAUGUGAGUACCACCAACAGGUAUGUGAGUAUCACCUUGUAGCAGGCCCAGUGUGCUAGUACCACCAGGUAUGUGAGUACCACCAGGUAUGUG